This 145-nucleotide ribosomal RNA is filed under the name uncultured bacterium. RNAcentral's name for it is "partial 16S rRNA". It matches the Rfam family "Bacterial small subunit ribosomal RNA", at positions 78 to 225 of the family's 1533-position model. The record is from RNAcentral.
CUUAAGCAAUUAAGAUAGUGGCAAACGGGUGAGUAACACGUAAGUAACCUGCCCCUAAGAACGGAAUAACUCUGAGAAAUUAGAGCUAAUGCCGUAUGUGGUCUUUCCUCGAUAAGGGAUGACAAAGCCGUAAGGUGCUUGGUGA